GACGAACGCUGGCGGCGUGCUUAACACAUGCAAGUCGAGCGGUAAGGCCCUUUCGGGGGUACACGAGCGGCGAACGGGUGAGUAACACGUGGGUGACCUGCCCUCAGCUCUGGGAUAAGCCCGGGAAACUGGGUCUAAUACUGGAUAUGACUCCAUGACGCAUGUUGUGGGGUGGAAAGCCUUGUGCGGCUGAGGAUGGGCCCGCGGCCUAUCAGCUUGUUGGUGGGGGAUGGCCUACCAAGGCGACGACGGGUAGCCGGCCUGAGAGGGCGACCGGCCACACUGGGACUGAGACACGGCCCAGACUCCUACGGGAGGCAGCAGUGGGGAAUCUUGCGCAAUGGGCGAAAGCCUGACGCAGCGACGCCGCGUGAGGGAUGACGGCCUGGU
Molecule: ribosomal RNA, 390 nt
Filed under: uncultured bacterium
Lineage: Bacteria
Description: bacterial SSU rRNA
Rfam family: Bacterial small subunit ribosomal RNA
Source: RNAcentral